Molecule: long non-coding RNA, 263 nt
Organism: Etheostoma cragini (Arkansas darter)
Lineage: Eukaryota; Metazoa; Chordata; Actinopteri; Perciformes; Percidae
Exons: 2
Source: RefSeq, a predicted model, not a curated record
GGUAAGACACAUGGAUUGUGGAAUUGUCGUGUGUCCCAGAAAACAAGUAACUUUAUGAACACAUUUUACCUUUCUUACAACACAAAGAGUUAUACAAACACCACAAAAGGUUAUUCCAAAAACCUUACAGUGGCAAAGUUCUAUAGAACAUCAAAAUGUGGAUAUUACAUGAUUGGGUUAUGCUUUAGGAUUGUACCGGAGGAAGAGAGGGAGCCGACAGUUGAACUCUUCACAGAAUUAAAUAUCCACAAUCAGUUAGACUG